AUUGAACGCUGGCGGAAUGCUUUACACAUGCAAGUCGAACGGCAGCACGGACUUCGGUCUGGUGGCGAGUGGCGAACGGGUGAGUAAUGUAUCGGAACGUGCCCAGUCGUGGGGGAUAACGUAGUGAAAAUUACGCUAAUACCGCAUACGAUCUAUGGAUGAAAGCGGGGGAUCGCAAGACCUCGCGCGAUUGGAGCGGCCGAUAUCAGAUUAGGUAGUUGGUGGGGUAAAGGCCCACCAAGCCAACGAUCUGUAGCUGGUCUGAGAGGACGACCAGACAGAGUGGAACUGAGACACGGUCCAGACACCUGCGGGAGGCAGCAGUGGGGAAUUUUGGACAAUGGGCGAAAGCCUGAUCCAGCCAUUCCGCGUGCAGGAUGAAGGCACUCGGGUUGUAAACUGCUUUUGUACAGAACGAAAAGGUUUCUACUAAUACUAGGAGCUCAUGACGGUACUGUAAGAAUAAGUACCGGCUAACUACGUGCCAGCCGCCGCAGUAA
This 500-nucleotide ribosomal RNA is filed under the name uncultured bacterium. RNAcentral describes it as "partial 16S ribosomal RNA". It matches the Rfam family "Bacterial small subunit ribosomal RNA", at positions 30 to 523 of the family's 1533-position model. The record is from RNAcentral.